GACAGAGGUUGCAAACGUUGUUCGGAAUCACUGGGCAUAAAGCGCACGUAGGCGGUCUGUUAAGUCAGGUGUGAAAGCCCCCGGCUCAACCGGGGAAUUGCAUUUGAUACUGGCAGGCUCGAGAACGGUAGGGGUGAGUGGAACUCCAGGUGGAGCGGUGAAAUGCGUAGAUAUCUGGAGGAACACCGGUGGCGAAAGCGGCUCACUGGACCGUCACUGACGCUGAGGUGCGAAAGCUAGGGUAGCAAACCGG
RNAcentral lists this ribosomal RNA (253 nucleotides) under uncultured bacterium. Its description in RNAcentral is "partial 16S ribosomal RNA". It matches the Rfam family "Bacterial small subunit ribosomal RNA", at positions 524 to 776 of the family's 1533-position model. The record is from RNAcentral.